RNAcentral lists this ribosomal RNA (408 nucleotides) under uncultured bacterium. RNAcentral's name for it is "partial 16S ribosomal RNA". It matches the Rfam family "Bacterial small subunit ribosomal RNA", at positions 30 to 526 of the family's 1533-position model. The record is from RNAcentral.
AUUGAACGCUGGCGGCGUGCCUAAUACAUGCAAGUCGAACGGAGUGGCGCACGGGUGAGUGAUAUAUAGCUAAUCUGCCCCUUGCUGGAGGGCAAAAGAUAGAAAUGACUGCUAAUACUCCAUAUGAAGGGAGGAGACUAUAACGUAUCAGCUCGUCGGUGUGGUAACGGCCUACCGAGGCUAUGACGCGUAACUGGUCUGAGAGGAUGAUCAGUCACAUUGGAACGGAGACACGGUCCAAACUCCUACGGCAAGGAGCAGUAGGGAAUAUUGCGCAAUGGGGGAAAAUCUGACGCAGCAUCGCCGCGUGGAGGAUGACACGUUUCGGAGCGUAAACUCCUGUUGUUAGGGAAGCGGUACCUAACGAAUAAGCACCGGCUAACUCCGUGCCAGCAGCCGCGGUAAUAC